This is a long non-coding RNA of Sapajus apella (tufted capuchin), 3410 nucleotides long. RefSeq lists it as uncharacterized. The transcript has 2 exons. The record is from RefSeq and is a predicted model, not a curated record. Lineage: Eukaryota; Metazoa; Chordata; Mammalia; Primates; Cebidae.
CCUUUAAUAUUUCUUUUAGGGUCUAAAGGUGACAAAUUCUGUUUUCCUUCAUCUAAGAAUGUCUUAUUUCUACUUUAUUCCUGAAGGAUAUCCACACUGGAUAUAGGUUUCUUUUCUUUCAGAACUAGAAAAAUAUUGUGCCACUUCAUUCUGACAUAUAUAUAUUUCCCCACUAUAGGUAAGGUGUCAUUUUUCUCUGGUGCUUUGAAUACUUUUUUAACUCUAUAUUUUCAGAAAUUUAAUUUGGAUGUGUGUUGGUAUGGAUUUCCGGGAUUUAUCCUGCUUGGGAUUCACCCAGCCACUUGAAUCUCCAGGUUUAGGUCUCUUGCCAAAUGUGGGAUGUUUUCAGCCAUUGUUUCUUCAAGUACUUUUUCAGCUUCACUCCUCCUCUUCCUGGAAUCUGGUGAUGUGAAUGGUGGAUCUUUUGUUCUUUUGUUAUAAUUCCACAUGUUCCUAUGAUGCUGUUUUUUUUCUUUUCCUUCAGUUUGUUUUCUCUCUGUGGUUUAGUUUGGGUUCCACCGUCAUGUUUCAACAUGCAAGUUGGAGGAGACAAGCGUCCAAACUGUAUAACCGUGUCUUCUGAUUUUUUAAAAAUUCAUUUUGAGUUGUUCCAGGUUUUUGGUAUGAUGGGCAAUUUUUUAAAUUGAAACCUGAAUAUUUUUAUAUUGUGAGACUCUGGACCUUUUUAAACCUUCUAUUUUAGUUGAAUUUUUUUGACUCCAUUCUGUCAGGGAAAGGAGAGGCAUCACCUCGUUACUGCUAGGCAGAGAGAGAAGUCCAGGUUUCCCACCAGGCUUCCAUUAGUACCUGAAGAGGAUGAUGCCAUCAUACUGCCAGGAAGUCCAGGCAUCCCAUUAGGACUGCACUAACACUUCAUAAGAUGGGGGAGGGAGAUUUAUUACUGGCCAGUGGGGAGGAAAGCCCCAGCUCUUUACUUGGCACUGUCUGAUACUUUCCUGGCAUGGGUGUUGGGGCAUCUCAUUACAGUGCUUACCAGGGUGGAAGCCUGUACUCCCCAUCCUGCCUUUGCUGGUGUGAGGAGGGGUGGGGGCCAAGGUUUUUUUCUGUGGCGUUUAGCUACAGUAAAGCGGUUAUUCUCUAAAAGAUUUUUGGCUCUCUAGGUGCUGUUUUCCUGAUCCUUUGGCAAGAGAGAUUAUGCUUUCGUUGGGGUGCUUUAUGUUUUUGAUUUCUUUGUUUUUGUCUGUGCUCACAGACAUUUCCAGGUUACUAGAUUCUUCAGCUGCUAGGAAGACUUUCAGCAGCUGAGAUAUAUGAGGCAAAAAGAAAACCUAGGAAACUCACCACCAGGUUAUUCUUUUGAUCCUCAACUCCCUAAAUAGUCUACCUUUACUCUACCUUUCAGCGUCUUCUUAUGUUUGUUUUAUAGAAAAUGUCCAGGGUUAUUGGCUGUACUUAACAGAAGGACUAGAGAAAAAUAUAUCAAUUCUAUGCUUGUUAGAAGCAGGGAACAUCAGACAUACUGAUUUUCUUAGUCUGUCUAGGCUCUCCAGAAGCCACAAUGCAGAGCUCUCUAGGAAAAGAUGGAUUGGAGAGUGGUGUCUGGAGCCAAGGCAGAAGUAGAGUCUCCUCCAUUCCAGAUCUAGGACUUAGGAUGCACACACUCUAGUAUGUGUGCAAAGCACAUAAAGUUAACAAUUUAGAUGAAGUACACCAAUUCCUCAAAUCCCAUAAACUAUCAAAACUCACUGAAGAUGAAAUCGAUAACUUGAAUAGUUCUUACAACUAUUGUUAGAAGUUGAAUUCAAAGUUAAAAAGCUUCUGAAAAAAGAAAUCUUCAGACCCAGAUGAUAUUACUGGUAAAUUCUACUAAACAGUUAAAGAAGAAAUAGCACCAAUUUUACACAAUCUCUUCCAGAAAUAGAGGAGGAGGAAACUUGUCAACUCAUUUUAUGAGGCCAGAAUUAUCCAAAUCCAAAACUAGACAAGAACAAACUAUAGACUGAUACAAAUGCAAAAACCUUAAAGUAUUAGCAAAUAAAAUCUAUCAGUAUGUAAAAGUAAUCAUACAAAAUAAUCAAGUAGGGUUUAUCUCACAAAUGCAAGCCUGAUUUAUAUCUAUAAAUUGAUAAUUUAAAAUAAAUUAUAAUCUGCCAAACUAACAGCAAAAAUUGCAUGAACAUUAAAAAAUCACAUGGUCAUAUCAAUUGAUGCUUUGGCAUUUGACAAAAUUCAGCAUCUGUUUAUGAUAGGAACUCUCAGCAAACUGGGAAUACAAAGGAAUUUACUUAGCUUUAAACGGAGUAUUUUUAAAAGUCUAACCUCAUACUUAAUGAUAAAAGAUUAAAUGGUUUCCCCUCAAAACUGAGAAUGAGGCAGGAAUGUUCACCCUCACUAUUCCAAUUCAUGAUCAUAGGACAAUUCCUAGCCAGUGCAGUAAAACACGAGAAAAAAAGUGCAUGUAGUUGAGGGGAAAAAAGAAGUAAAACUGGCACUGCUUGUAGAUGACAAUGUGAUUGUAUAGAAAAUCCUAAGGAACCUAUCAAAUAAAAUGACCAUCCCAGAACUAAUAAGUGAGUUUAGCAAAGUCACAGAUACAAGGCCAAUACAUAACCAUUUUAUUUCUAUAUACAAGCAAUGAACAAUUGGGAACUGAAAGUUUUAAAAUACCAUUUACAAGUUGUUUUUUUUUUUUAAGUGCUACUCUGUCAAAACAUGUACAAUAUCCACAUGCUAAAAAGUAGAAAACAGUGAUAAAAUCAAUCAAAGAAGACCUAAGUAAACACAUGGAUUAGACAACUAACAGAUUAAAUCCUCAAAUUGAUCUACAGACCGAAGGCAGUUCCAAUCACAGUCCCAAAAGGGCCUUUUUGUAGAUAAAGACAGGCUGAUCCUAAAAUUUAUAUGGAAAUACAAAAAAACUAAAGUACCGUAAACAACUUGCAAAAGAAGAAAGCUGGAUGAAUCACACUACCCAAUGUUAAGAUUUACUCUAUGCUACAGUAAUCAGUGAGCAAAAGGAAAGCAGGUAGACCUUUGGAGCACAGGGAGUCCAGAAAUAGAUUCAUAGAAAUACAGGCCAAUUGAUUUUUUACAUAGGUGCAAAGGCAGUUCAAUGGAGAAAGUUUCAUCUUUACAGUAAAUGGUGUUGCAACAACUGGACAUGGAUAGGCAAAAGAAUGACCCUUGAUCUAAACCACACACCUCACACACAAUUUUAACUUUAAAUGGAUCAUAGAUCUAAAUGUAAAAGGUAGAACUGUAAACUUUUAGAAGAAAACAUAGUGGAAAAACAAUUUUCUGGGAUUAGGCAAAAUGUUUCUAAACAUGCACCAAAAGCAAGACCCAUAUAAGAAAGAAUUGACAAAUUCCUUGUAUGGCAAAUGACUAGCGUCCUAAAUACAUAAAGGACACUCUAAAUCAAGUAGUAAGAAAACAACCCAAUUAAAAAA